This 320-nucleotide long non-coding RNA is filed under the name Mytilus galloprovincialis (Mediterranean mussel). The record is from RNAcentral. Lineage: Eukaryota; Metazoa; Mollusca; Bivalvia; Mytilida; Mytilidae.
AACAUAAACUACACUUAUAUGCGGCAAAGCUUAGCGAAAGGUAGUGCGACGUAAUCAGUCAAACAAACUUUAUUAGAUUAACUCGUAAAGGAACGGUCGUUUUCAUUGGCCAAUUCAAACCUUCGCCCUCACACCUGCGAAAAUAGAACACGCGUACUAUAAGUUGAAUGGACUGAUCAGUAUUCACGUAACCGGUCAAGGUUGUUAUAACCUCCAUCGUAGUAUUCACGUAUAUUAUUGUGUUCUGGAUUAUCCCAUAGCAAUUCUAACUUUUCAAUGAUACAUGUAUGUGCAUGUAAAAUUCAUUGAAUUUAUAAUUU